RNAcentral lists this long non-coding RNA (489 nucleotides) under Melopsittacus undulatus (budgerigar). Its description in RNAcentral is "lncRNA (ENSMUNG00000019515.1)". The record is from RNAcentral. Lineage: Eukaryota; Metazoa; Chordata; Aves; Psittaciformes; Psittaculidae.
AUGGAUGAAAUGCUUGCAGCAAUAAGCAGAUCUGUAAGUAACACUGGUCCCUUUCCAGUUUCCACUGGCUGGGACCAGGGAAAGAAGGCACAGGGAGGUGGUCCAGUUAAAGAACCCAGCAGCCUAUUUCACAUGAAGAAGAGGAAAUACCUUUCCCCAGGGCACCCCAUAAAACUCCUUCUGCUAUGGCUUUCACUCUGCUGGCAGCUUCUCAGAUGCUGUGAGAAGCAUCCAGCGGCUUCAAGGAAUUCAUCACCAGCACAGGCCCUGAGGGCUGUGUGCCCUCGAUACCCUCUGAAACUGCUUUGCCUGCUGCUGUCCUAUGGACAGGACCCAGGACUGGGGUGGUAAGGAUGUUACCCAGCCUUUCCAUCAAGAGCGGUGCUGGGGAUGCGGCUGCAGAGAUGUGGACCGUUCCUGGGGAUGCUGCUUUGCUGCUCUGUGCCUCAGUUUCCCUGUUCACCCUUGUUAUUUGUGACCAUUUUUGUG